This 747-nucleotide non-coding RNA is filed under the name Pongo abelii (Sumatran orangutan). The record is from RNAcentral. Lineage: Eukaryota; Metazoa; Chordata; Mammalia; Primates; Hominidae.
AGAAGGACCGAGUUUCUCUCAGCCGAGAACUGUGGCUGCCUCUCCGGUGAAAACAGAGGAAGUGGGUGCGGCAGGAAGCGCUUUGGGAUCAGGGCGACCCCUGGAGCGUAGAGUAACCAGAUCACAAGCAUACGUGAAUGCUCAAAUUCCAUAGUUAUCAAAUGUAUUCAGAUUUACAUUUUACUUUUCUAGAAAAAAUGUAAAUAAUCCGUUGAGAACAUUUAAUGAAAAAUGUUGGUCGUAUCUUUAUCUGGUCUGCGGCUCUGUCCCUGUUUCCUGGAUAGGAGAUUACGUCUGUAUCACAGGAGGCACCUUCUCCCUGUUUCCUGGCACAGACUUUAAAUGUUACUGCUUUUCAUUCUUUGGGUCCAUGCUGCCUUUAUGAACUGUAACACUCACUGUGAAGGUCUGUAGCUUCACUCCUUAAGCCAGCGAGACCACAAACCCACUGGGAGGGAUGAACAACUCUGGACGGGAGGAGCAAACAACUCUGGAUGCGCCACCUUUAUGAAGUGUAAUACUUUACAUAUGAAGUGUAAGCCAGCAAGACCACGAACCCACCAGAAGGAACGAACAACUCCAGAUAUGCCACCUUUAAGAGCUGUAACACUCACCGUGGAAGUCUGCAGCUUCACUCCUGAAGUCAGUGAGACCAUGAACCCACCAGAAGGAAGAAACUCUGGAAACAUCUGAAGGAACAAGCUCCAGACACUACCAGUUCCGGACACAGCAUGAUCUUUUUUCACU